RNAcentral lists this long non-coding RNA (1154 nucleotides) under Monodelphis domestica (gray short-tailed opossum). RNAcentral's name for it is "lncRNA (ENSMODG00000030842.2)". The record is from RNAcentral. Lineage: Eukaryota; Metazoa; Chordata; Mammalia; Didelphimorphia; Didelphidae.
CUGGGCUGUUCGUCUUCCCUCUGUCUAAGGAGCCGGUGCGGGGGCCUGCUCGUAAACUCCGGGCUCGGUGCCGGGUGGGCUGGGGCCCCCAGUGGGGAGGCCAGCCUCAGGGCUGAUUGAUGACCUGUGGAUGCUUCCUGAUGCCACCAGCGUGUUUUAUGAUGUCAUUAGGAGACUUCAGCCGCAUUAAGGAAUCCCUCAUGACAUCAUAAAGGACUUGAUAUUUCGCUAAUGUUAUUUCGGUGGAGAGGCGCGGGGACAUUUUAUCGUCCCCAACACUCCCCCAAGAAUUAGGAGUUGUCUAACAGCAUCCAGGAAGAAAUGCAAAACUAGUCAAAUUCACACUCCCGGGGCGAUGGCUAGAGAAUGCUAAUAGGCCUGGGCUCCUCGGGGCCCCGCCGCAGUUUUAGGUGGGAAACAUGAUGUGCUUGUCAAAGCGGGCCCAAAAAGUCAUUCUACCCAGCGCUGACUUUCCCGGAAACUGGGCACCAUUUGUUUGGGAAAACGCGAGCUGAGGCCGGAGGGCCCUCGUAGGGAGUCCGGAAAGCGUGACCUCUGGUCCUUCUGUGACCUUGGUCAAGACUUUUCAUUGCUCUAGGAUUCGCCGUCCGUCACGAUGGGCUGGUCCCUCUGUGAGUUUGAGUGCCGAGCCCAGGCAGGACCCAACCGCUCCACAAAGAACUGGGCAUUAAAGCGAUCCGUGAUCUGGGCUCCAUCUCAACCCUGCCCUCAGCUGAGAAAACUGAGGCCCAUACUUGUCAAAGGUCAUGUAAGUAGGAAACAGAAGAGCCAAAGCCAAUAUUCUUUCCACUCUAAGCCUCUGGGCCAUAUUCCCAGCCUCUGGCCAGAGAGCCUAUUGUCUCUCAUGUAAAGAAGAUGGGCGAAAGCAGACCUUCCCCCUGGUCUCCCCCCAACUGCUGGCCUUGUCCAGGAUCCACACCAGAGACAUGGCAUCCUCAAUUCCAGCACCUCUUCUCCAGGGCCUGUUUCCAAAGACAAUACAAAUCAGCAGGAUGAUAACUGCCGUCUCUAUAGAACUUAAAGGUUUUUAAAGCAUUUUCUCCAUUUGGUUAGUUUCAGCAAACAUCCAUUAAGUAAUGGUGUGCAAGACACUAUGCAAAGUGUUAGAGCCACAAAGAAAAAUAAAAUCAAAU